This 253-nucleotide ribosomal RNA is filed under the name uncultured bacterium. Its description in RNAcentral is "partial 16S ribosomal RNA". It matches the Rfam family "Bacterial small subunit ribosomal RNA", at positions 524 to 776 of the family's 1533-position model. The record is from RNAcentral.
UACAGAGGUCCCAAGCGUUGUUCGGAUUCACUGGGCGUAAAGGGUGCGUAGGCGGUCGGGUAAGUCUGACGUGAAAUCUUCAAGCUCAACUUGGAAACUGCGUCGGAUACUAUUCGGCUGGAGGAAUGGAGGGGAGACUGGAAUACUUGGUGUAGCAGUGAAAUGCGUAGAUAUCAAGUGGAACACCAGUGGCGAAGGCGAGUCUCUGGACAAAUCCUGACACUGAGGCACGAAAGCUAGGGGAGCAAACAGG